GCGCGGGUGGUGGAACGGUAUACACGUACGCUUGAGGUGCGUAUUCCGCAAGGAUUGGGAGUUCAAAUCUCCCCCCGCGCACCA
This 84-nucleotide transfer RNA is filed under the name Candidatus Berkelbacteria bacterium. Its description in RNAcentral is "tRNA-Leu". It matches the Rfam family "tRNA". From Rfam's summary of the family: Transfer RNA (tRNA) molecules are approximately 80 nucleotides in length. Their secondary structure includes four short double-helical elements and three loops (D, anti-codon, and T loops). The record is from RNAcentral. Lineage: Bacteria; Candidatus Berkelbacteria.